GGUUUCCGUAGGUGAACCUGCGGAAGGAUCAUUGUCGAAUCCUGCCUAGCAGAAUGACCAGAGAA
RNAcentral lists this ribosomal RNA (65 nucleotides) under Calyptranthes bipennis. RNAcentral describes it as "partial 18S ribosomal RNA". RNAcentral also lists the same sequence under 1 other name. The record is from RNAcentral. Lineage: Eukaryota; Viridiplantae; Streptophyta; Magnoliopsida; Myrtales; Myrtaceae.